UACAGAGGGGGCAAGCGUUGUUCGGAAUUACUGGGCGUAAAGGGCGCGUAGGUGGCCAACUAAGUCAGACGUGAAAUCCCUCGGCUUAACCGGGGAACUGCGUCUGAUACUGGAUGGCUUGAGUGUGGGAGAGGGAUGCGGAAUUCCAGGUGUAGCGGUGAAAUGCGUAGAUAUCUGGAGGAAUACCGGUGGCGAAGGCGGCAUCCUGGACCAACACUGACGCUGAGGCGCGAAAGCUAGGGGAGCAAACGGG
This 253-nucleotide ribosomal RNA is filed under the name uncultured bacterium. RNAcentral's name for it is "partial 16S ribosomal RNA". It matches the Rfam family "Bacterial small subunit ribosomal RNA", at positions 524 to 776 of the family's 1533-position model. The record is from RNAcentral.